Molecule: long non-coding RNA, 227 nt
Filed under: Pelobates cultripes (western spadefoot toad)
Lineage: Eukaryota; Metazoa; Chordata; Amphibia; Anura; Pelobatidae
Source: RNAcentral
AUGACUCAUUUAUCCUUUUUCUCAACUGAGGUCCCUUUCCUUCAUUUUCAUCUGUAAAUACAGAACAAAAAUAUUCAUUGAGGCAGUCAGCUAGACCUUUAUCCUCUUCUACAUACCUUCCUUCUUUUGUUUUUAAUCUAACUAAUCCUUGUUUUACUUUUCUUUUCUCAUUUAUGUAUCUAAAAAAAUUUUUAUCCCCCUUUUUUUACUGACUGUGCUAUUUUCUC